CCGCCGUUUGAGGGGUUUCUUGCACGAGAGGGUUUCCAACCCUAGCAACAGUGACCAGAGAGAGCUGGGGAUGAAGCAUUGAGUUACAGACACUUGCCGGAGAGAAGAAAUGGAGUGAUUUCCUCCUGUCUAUAGUCACUUAAAAAUUACAUUGAGUUGAUGUCUCAGCAGCCAUAGAAGAUCAGCAAAACAAUCUUCCGCUUAGAGCAGAGGGACACAUUUGAGAAGAGGGUUCAUGUUGCCUUUGCAAUAGAUUCCAUUCGUUAUAGAUGAAGAUAAUCUUCAAUCAAGGGACUCUUCACUGUUGUCUAGUACGACCUUCAAGCAAGCACGCGCCUAAGAUUUGCCUUCAUGGUGGUUACAAGUUAGAGAUUCAUGAUAAAAGCAGAGAGGAGUAGAAGAAAUGGCACCAGCAAGCAAGGCAGGCAAGAAGGCUGCUCUAGAUGUGGCCUCAUGGAUGUUCAAUGUUGUUACUUCUGUUGGAGUCAUCAUUGUCAAUAAAGCUUUAAUGGCCACAUAUGGCUUUAGUUUCGGUAAAUUCAAUACGGUUCUCCAGUCUAUUUCCUUGUUGGUUUAACUGAUUUGUGUUUUUAUG
Molecule: long non-coding RNA, 595 nt
Organism: Magnolia sinica
Lineage: Eukaryota; Viridiplantae; Streptophyta; Magnoliopsida; Magnoliales; Magnoliaceae
Exons: 3
Source: RefSeq, a predicted model, not a curated record